GGCGACGAUCGGUAGCCGGACUGAGAGGUUGAACGGCCACAUUGGGACUGAGACACGGCCCAGACUCCUACGGGAGGCAGCAGUGGGGAAUAUUGCACAAUGGGGGAAACCCUGAUGCAGCGACGCCGCGUGGAGGAAGAAGGUCUUCGGAUUGUAAACUCCUGUUGUUGAGGAAGAUAAUGACGGUACUCAACAAGGAAGUGACGGCUAACUACGUGCCAGCAGCCGCGGUAAAACGUAGGUCACAAGCGUUGUCCGGAAUUACUGGGUGUAAAGGGAGCGCAGGCGGGAAGACAAGUUGGAAGUGAAAUCUAUGGGCUCAACCCAUAAACUGCUUUCAAAACUGUUUUUCUUGAGUAGUGCAGAGGUAGGCGGAAUUCCCGGUGUAGCGGUGGAAUGCGUAGAUAUCGGGAGGAACACCAGUGGCGAAGGCGGCCUACUGGGCACCAACUGACGCUGAGGCUCGAAAGUGUGGGUAGCAAACAGGAUUCGAUACCCUGGUAGUCCACACCGUAAACGAUGAUUACUAGGUGUGGGAGGAUUGACCCCUUCAGUGCCGCAGUUAACACAAUAAGUAAUCCACCUGGGGAGUACGACCGCAAGGUUGAAACUCAAAGGAAUUGACGGGGGCCCGCACAAGCAGUGGAGUAUGUGGUUUAAUUCGACGCAACGCGAAGAACCUUACCAAGUCUUGACAUCCCUUGACGAACAUAGAAAUAUGUUUUCUCUUCGGAGCAAGGAGACAGGUGGUGCAUGGUUGUCGUCAGCUCGUGUCGUGAGAUGUUGGGUUAAGUCCCGCAACGAGCGCAACCCUUAUGGUCAGUUACUACGCAAGAGGACUCUGGCCAGACUGCCGUUGACAAAACGGAGGAAGGUGGGGAUGACGUCAAAUCAUCAUGCCCUUUAUGACUUGGGCUACACACGUACUACAAUGGCGUUAAACAAAGAGAAGCAAGACCGCGAGGUGGAGCAAAACUCAGAAACAACGUCCCAGUUCGGACUGCAGGCUGCAACUCGCCUGCACGAAGUCGGAAUUGCUAGUAAUCGUGGAUCAGCAUGCCACGGUGAAUACGUUCCCGGGCCUUGCACU
RNAcentral lists this ribosomal RNA (1090 nucleotides) under uncultured bacterium. RNAcentral describes it as "bacterial SSU rRNA". It matches the Rfam family "Bacterial small subunit ribosomal RNA", at positions 272 to 1387 of the family's 1533-position model. The record is from RNAcentral.